AGUGAACGCUGGCGGUAGGCUUAACACAUGCAAGUCGAACGGCAACGCACUAAGCGCUUGCUCUUAUAGGUGGCGAGUGGCGGACGGGUGAGGAAUCCAUCGGAAUCUACUUUUUCGUGGGGGAUAACGUAAGGAAACUUACGCUAAUACCGCAUACGCCCUACGUGUGAAAGCAUGGGAUCUUCUGACCUUUCGCGUUUGAAUGAGCCGGUGUCGGAUUAGCUAGUUGGCGGGGUGAUGGCCCACCAUGGCGACGAUGCGGAGCUGGUCUGAGGGGAUGGUCAGCGGCACUGGAACGGAGACACGGUCCAGAGUCCUACGGGAGGCAGCAGAGGGGAAUAUUGGACAACGGGGGCAAGCCUGAUCCAGCCGUACCGCGUGGGUGGAGAAGGCGGUCGGGUUGUAAAGCCCUUUUUUUGGGAGAGAAACGCAGCAGGUUAAUACGCCGCUGUUCUGACGGUACCCGAAGAAUAAGCACCGGCUAACUUCGUG
Molecule: ribosomal RNA, 492 nt
Filed under: uncultured bacterium
Lineage: Bacteria
Description: partial 16S ribosomal RNA
Rfam family: Bacterial small subunit ribosomal RNA
Source: RNAcentral